UACGGAGGGUGCAAGCGUUAUCCGGAUUCACUGGGUUUAAAGGGUGCGUAGGAGGGCAGGGAAGUCCGUGGUGAAAUCUCCGAGCUUAACUCGGAAACUGCCGUGGAUACUCUCUGUCUUGAAUCCCGUGGAGAUGAGCGGAAUAUGUCAUGUAGCGGUGAAAUGCUUAGAUAUGACAUAGAACACCAAUUGCGAAGGCAGCUCGUUACACGAAGAUUGACUCUGAGGCACGAAAGCGUGGGGAGCAAACAGG
RNAcentral lists this ribosomal RNA (253 nucleotides) under uncultured bacterium. RNAcentral's name for it is "partial 16S ribosomal RNA". It matches the Rfam family "Bacterial small subunit ribosomal RNA", at positions 524 to 776 of the family's 1533-position model. The record is from RNAcentral.